UACGAAGGGGGCUAGCGUUGCUCGGAAUUACUGGGCGUAAAGAGUGUGUAGGCGGUGCUCUAAGUCUGUUGUGAAAUCUCCCGGCUUAACUGGGAGGGUGCGGCGGAGACUGGAGUGCUAGAGUGUGGGAGAGGUAAGCGGAAUUCCUGGUGUAGCGGUGAAAUGCGUAGAUAUCAGGAGGAACACCUGUGGUGUAGACAGCUUACUGGACCACGACUGACGCUGAGACACGAAAGCGUGGGUAGCAAACAGG
This 253-nucleotide ribosomal RNA is filed under the name uncultured bacterium. Its description in RNAcentral is "partial 16S ribosomal RNA". It matches the Rfam family "Bacterial small subunit ribosomal RNA", at positions 524 to 776 of the family's 1533-position model. The record is from RNAcentral.